This 447-nucleotide ribosomal RNA is filed under the name uncultured bacterium. RNAcentral describes it as "partial 16S ribosomal RNA". It matches the Rfam family "Bacterial small subunit ribosomal RNA", at positions 29 to 523 of the family's 1533-position model. The record is from RNAcentral.
AACGAACGCUGGCGGCGGGCCUAACACAUGCAAGUCGAACGCCCCGCAAGGGGAGUGGCAGACGGGUGAGUAACACGUGGGAACAUGCCCUUCGGUUCGGAAUAACUCAGGGAAACUUGAGCUAAUACCGGAUACGUCCGAGAGGAGAAAGAUUUAUCGCCGAAGGAUUGGCCCGCGUCUGAUUAGCUUGUUGGUGAGGUAACGGCUCACCAAGGCGACGAUCAGUAGCUGGUCUGAGAGGAUGAUCAGCCACACUGGGACUGAGACACGGCCCAGACUCCUACGGGAGGCAGCAGUGGGGAAUAUUGGACAAUGGGCGCAAGCCUGAUCCAGCCAUGCCGCGUGAGUGACGACGGCCCUAGGGUUGUAAAGCUCUUUUGCCUGGGAAGAUAAUGACGGUACCAGGAGUAUAAGCCCCGGCUAACUUCGUGCCAGCCGCCGCGGUAA